RNAcentral lists this ribosomal RNA (500 nucleotides) under uncultured bacterium. RNAcentral's name for it is "partial 16S ribosomal RNA". It matches the Rfam family "Bacterial small subunit ribosomal RNA", at positions 28 to 507 of the family's 1533-position model. The record is from RNAcentral.
GACGAACGCUGGCGGCGUGCCUAAUACAUGCAAGUCGAACGAACGGAGCUAGGAACUUGUUCCCGGCAAAGUUAGUGGCGCACGGGUGAGUAACACGUGGAGAACCUACCCUUUUGCGGGGGAUAACCAUUGGAAACGAUGACUAAUACCGCAUAGAAUCGCAGAUCGCAUGAUCAACGAAGGAAAGACGGCUUCGGCUGUCGCAAAAGGAUGGCUCCGCGGUGCAUUAGCUAGAUGGUGGGGUAACGGCCUACCAUGGCAAUGAUGCAUAGCCGACCUGAGAGGGUGAUCGGCCACAUUGGGACCGAGACACGGCCCAAACUCCUACGGGAGGCAGCAGUAGGGAAUCUUCCGCAAUGGGCGCAAGCCUGACGGAGCAACGCCGCGUGUGUGAAGAAGGUCUUCGGAUCGUAAAGCACUGUUGUUAGAGAAGAACGACCGCUAGAGUAACUGUUAGCGGAGUGACGGUAUCUAACCAGAAAGCCACGGCUAACUACGUG